AAUAAAUUACCUUAUCCUUGG
RNAcentral lists this microRNA (21 nucleotides) under Monodelphis domestica (gray short-tailed opossum). RNAcentral describes it as "Mdo-Mir-7371-P28b_3p* (star (passenger))". Lineage: Eukaryota; Metazoa; Chordata; Mammalia; Didelphimorphia; Didelphidae. The record is from RNAcentral.